Zeugodacus cucurbitae (melon fly) is the source of this 1597-nucleotide long non-coding RNA. RefSeq lists it as uncharacterized. Lineage: Eukaryota; Metazoa; Arthropoda; Insecta; Diptera; Tephritidae. The transcript is spliced from 3 exons. The record is from RefSeq and is a predicted model, not a curated record.
ACUUCGGACAUUCCUGGAAAAUUUUUUAUAUCCAUACUUAAUGCAGAAGAAAGUUCUACGACAAAAACCUAUGAUAUGCCAAUAAAUAAAACGCAGUCAUUAAAAAAUCCAUUAUCCAUGGUUUCUAACAUGUGUCAACGCUCGGUUUCCACAUAAUUGUAAACACAGAAACUUUUUCAGCCAUUAUUAAAGUUAAAGAAUUCAAAAAGGCGUAAACAGAAAACUGCAGCCAAAAAAUAUUUCCCACACAGACAAGCCUCAAAGCCUGUAGGCCCUUCACAGACUGGGAUUGCUUUUCAUGAUCAGGAGUUGAAAAACAAGCCCAAAAGAUUGCCGGAGGUCAUCAAAAAUGAAGGAGGAAAUCUAAGUAUUAACAAACAUUUUUUUUUAAUAUUUAAUGAAAUCAAGAACAAUUUCUAUAUUUUGCACUUUAUAUUGUCCAAUGUAAGAAGCCCUUACUUCUUACAUUGGACAAUAUAUUUAUUAUUUAAUUCCUGUGUACAGUUAAAGACAUUUUUUAUUACUUUUAUUAUUUAUUUUAAAUUCGCUCAAAAUGGAGGGUUCAUAUUUAUAUUUGAAUGGAAGGCCGGCACCUCGUUUACUAAUUACAGCAUUAUAAUGUGCGAAAAUAGCGCUGAUGUUCGUAUACGUACACACACCGAUUGACACUGACAAACAGAAACGAAGAUCGUAAAACGAGCCCUUAUACUUAAGCUGGAUAAUUCAAGUCUGUGUAUGCGCACAACCGAGUUUAAUACACAUGUUCGUAUACGAUGACGCAUCAUUAUGCAACAUGUUCUCCGAAAUUCGAACAAGAAUUCGAAUACGCAUACGCUGGGAUGCGUAAACACAGUCAUCUCCACAUAAAUAGCAAUCAACAUUACCCUGCAGUACGGCUGGUAUGAAUUGGUGAAUUGCACUAGUGAAUUCUUAUGUUACAAGUAACUAGAGAAUUCACGACAACGAGGUAAUGCAGAGAAGCAAUAGUACAUGAGAGAGAGGAGAGCAUGAUCUAGAGAAGGUUGUGCUCAAUAUGUACUCUCAGUAGAAUAUUAGCGACAAAUAAGGGUGGAAAUGCAAUUUUGAGAGAUCGAAGCAAAAAUAACGCAGAAUAAUAACGGCAGAGCAUGUCGUACAGUAAGUGCAAGUUGCAAAUAAUUAUUGGAUCAUUAUAGUAUUUACGUACAAGUUGGUCAUUGAAAGCAUAAUUUACUGUAGUAGAAAGAAAGGCAUCAGCGUUUUCUUUGUAAAUCUGAUAUUUCAUUUUUCGCUUAAUAGUUGUUCUCUGAUUGUACAAUUGAUCUCGCGUCGCGGGUUCUACUACGUUUAUUGUUUAUUAAAAGGUGAAUAAUUAAAUGAAAUAAUAGUGAAUAAAAACAAAAACAACAUAAAUAUUUUAUAUGUAUGCAAAAAAAUGGAUUGCCCUGCAUAAUGGAAAGAGAUCAACACCAAAUUUUAAUGGAACUCUUAGAAAUGUGACUUGGGGAUAUAAGUGCAGUGAUAAAUAUGCUUUUGAAUCCAGCCGAAGUGCACAAAAAUUUUGACUGAUAUUAACCGACUCUGUUGUUCAGAUGGUAAAUAUAAUUGUAAACAAAGA